AGAAAAAAAAAAAAAAAAAAAAAAAAAAGAG
This 31-nucleotide non-coding RNA is filed under the name Picochlorum sp. RCC944. Lineage: Eukaryota; Viridiplantae; Chlorophyta; Trebouxiophyceae. The record is from RNAcentral.